UUUCCGUAGGUGAACCUGCGGAAGGAUCAUUCAUAAUAAAGUGUUUUAUGGCACUUUUUAAAAAUCCAUAUCCACCUUGUGUGCAAUGUUAGAUCUCGUCAAUCUUGGCGAGAUUUUUAUACAUCAACUCAUUCUUUAAUUAAUUUGUCUGAAAAAUAUUAUGAAUACUUAAUUCAAAAUACAACUUUCAACAACGGAUCUCUUGGCUCUC
This 211-nucleotide unclassified non-coding RNA is filed under the name plant metagenome. RNAcentral's name for it is "partial contains small subunit ribosomal RNA, internal transcribed spacer 1, and 5.8S ribosomal RNA". The record is from RNAcentral.